Molecule: long non-coding RNA, 5633 nt
Filed under: Trifolium pratense (red clover)
Lineage: Eukaryota; Viridiplantae; Streptophyta; Magnoliopsida; Fabales; Fabaceae
Description: long non-coding RNA (TPRA_LNC001234)
Source: RNAcentral
GAAAAGAAAAUUGCAAUGAAGAUGAUUGUGAUUGCAUUGAAAUGCAUACAAAUAAAACCAGAUGAUCGUCCCUCAAUAAAUGAAGUGAUAGAUAUGCUCGAAGGAGAUGAAGUUCCCCAACACCUUCGUCCUGAUCCUGAAUCUCUCUUAACCUGGCAAAAGAUGUCAGCAGAUGCAAAUGAAUUUGAUGACAGCUAACAUUCGUCAUCAGCAACAUAUGAAUACUGUCAAUAACAUAUCAAACGAUUUUAGAUUUUUAUAAAAUUUAACACGAAUGGUCUAUAUGAUAUAAACUUUCAAUCCAACGGUGAAUUUUGUAAAAGUUGUAUUCGUUAAAGCGUUAUAUUGAGCGGUGUAACAUUACUCAAAUGUUACACCGGUGUCAAUUGUACGAUGAGAUGGGAGGCAUAAAGAAAGUCUUUAAAAUUGUUCAUGAUGCAAGUUAUAAUAGUUUACAUUUUACAUGCUUGUUUCUACGUUGUAAUAGCUAAAUGAUGCAAGUUAUAAUUGUUCAUGCUUGUUUCUAUGUUGUAGUUAGAAUGUGAAGCAAGUUGCACAGAAGCAAGUUGCACAAUUUGACAACACGCAUAUCACGAGGCAUUGAGGCGUUAUCAAAGCCUUGUGUUGUGUGUAAUGAAUAAUUAUCUGCUUUGGUCCUCUGGCGAUCCUCCUAAUCCUGCAUGUUUCAUAUGUUAAGCAGUCUCUGAAUUAUGUGAAAACUGAAAACUCGUUUGUGGCAUAUGACUUCAAAUCCCGGCACAUUGAGACAAGAAAAGUUUCCUGAUGUUAUUAUAAGUUAUAAUGGUCAUCUGUGUGUAUGUGAAAAAUCCCUGAACAAUUGAAUAUGGGACUUCUCAUAGAAGCACAAAUGACAGUUAUAAUAUUAUUUUUUCUAAAAAAAUCCCUAAUGAAUCCAGAAUAUUUAUCUUGUGUAUAUAUAUUCAAGAUAAUUACUACACUUGAGGAAUAAUAUUUUUUAAUUGUGUCCAAACCUUAAAGGAUCAAAUAUGGGUGAUGGAAUUGGACCUGCAAGUGAGAAUGAUACCCAGCCAUUAGGCAUUAUUGGACUAUGCAUGUGGUUGGCUCGAAGUCAGCUGUGACAAAUAAUCUAGCGUGACUGACACGGAAUAUUGGAUGAUCAAUCUUCCCCUAAACCAAACUCAGAAAAUCAAUCAAAAUGGCUGUGUCGUGCGGGGGACUAAUCAUUCUCAUUGCUUUGGUAAUAUUGAUAUCAAUAAGUGUGUUUGGCCUACCUUGGACGUUCCUUGAACCAUGCCCCUUUGCAUUAGAACACCCCUGCGGAGUCAUAUUCAACGAAUCAUCUGGAGAGGGGUGUGUGAAUCCCAUUUUCGAAGUAAUAUGUGAAAACAACAAAUCAGUAAUGUACUUCAACUAUGGCCAACGUCAUGCCCGUGCCAUUAUAGCUUCUAAAUCAUCAUCCUCUUCAUUCCGUUACAUAAUGACCGGAGUUAUAGUCCUCAUAAUAACUGCCCUAUCAUCAAUUCCCUUUCGUACGAAAAUAUCUCCUUCUUUACCGAUCCUUUUGUUUCUGAAUAUAUAGUGAUUAUGAGAUGCGAAAAACCGGUAGAUGAUAGCAACUAUUGGGAUAUGUCUUCAAAGAGGUGUGGUGGUGGUGGUGGAAAUGAUGGUGAGGAAGAGCAAUAUUAUUCGUAUGUUGUUGUGAACUAUUUUUACCACAGAGACAAAGAUUUUGUUGUGAAAUACAUAGCAGAGUCUUGCAGAGUAGAGAUGAAGGUAAUGAUCAGUAGGUGGGAUGAAAAGGUGAAAUGUAAUAGCAGCAAGUGUGGCUAUCCAGAGGUUCACAGUGAGUAUCUCAACGGAAUUGAGCUUCGCUGGCGACCAUUGCGCUGUGAGGAAGCAAGUUACUGGUACGGGAAAAGGCAACGACAAUUGCCAGUCAUAUGCAUUCUCUUCGAUGCUGCACUCACCUGCCUUGCAAUCGGAGCCCGGAGUAAGUGUGUGUGUUUUAUUUUUGGUACAAUAGAGGGUCAGAGGCCUUGAGUAAGUGUGUGUUUAGUUCCGUGAGAAAAAAUGAUUUGAAGUAAAUUGAUUACGACUGAAAAAUUGCAUCAAAGUUAAAUUGAUUUAUGUUUAUAUACAUUAAUAUAAAAGUGAGUUAAAAUUCAAACGUAAAAGUCAAUUUUUAGAAUUAGAACCAACAAUGAGCACGAUUGUGUUUUNNNNNNNNNNNNNNNNNNNNNUUUUUGUAUUUUUUAAAAUGAUUUUUAUGAUAACUUAAUUAAAAAAUAAUCAACAUAUUCUAACUCUGAUGGUGAGACUUGAAGGUGACAAUACGUUUCUGGUACGGUGGAACAUGCUGGAAAACAUACUGCAGAACAUGUUAACACUUCAACGCUCAAGUCAGUAUGUGAUCAAGGAGAAGUGAAGUGAAAAGUGAUUGAAUUAUAUAUCUUGGUGUGCUCGUUUAUAUGGGUAAUACUCGACUUAACAUUCAUUAUAAAAAAUUCAUUACAGAUGGAAUCUGCACUUCAAUUUUAACAUAACUCAUUACUUGAGUUAUGUUAAGAAGCAAAACAAGAACACGGAGAUGAGGUUUUUUUAGCCAAAUAGCCAUGACUGAUCAUUCAUCAUGUCCAUCUAACAAAUCAGUAAAACUUAUUGGCCUAUUGCAGCUUACCACCGGCAUGAUUGAUUCACACUACUGUUUGAAAAAAGUUAUAAAUCUCAUCUGGAAAAAAAAUCUUUCACCAGUAAAUAAAUAUAACUCUCAUUACAAAUUUACUAUAUACAUUUACUAAUUUUUCAAUAUAUAUCCCUAAUUAAAACGGAAUAAUAUUUCUGUUUCUUAAAUAGUGUCCAAACCUUAAGGAUCAAAUAUGAGUGAUGGAAAGAGUAAGAGUUGACCUGCAAGUGAGAAUUGGACCCCACCCAUCAGGCAUUAUUGAACUCUGAAGUCAGCUGUGACUGAAAUCAAAUAAUCCAGCCGUGACUGACACGGAAGGUUGCAGCAAGGUCGAUCUUCUUCACCCAACCAAACCCAGAAAAUCAAUCAGAAUGGCUGUGUCGUGUGCGGGACUAAUCAUUUUAGCUGUCUCCACAUUAUUGCUAUUAAUUAUAAGUGACUCUAUCUUUUCUUGGCAGUUCCCUGAUCCUAGAUUCGAAGUAACAUGUGAAAACAACAAAUCCGUAAUUUACUUCAACUAUGGAAAACGUCAAAGCCAAGGCCAUUAUAGUUUCUAAUUCAUCCUCCUCUUCAUUCCGUUACAUAAUGACCGGAGUUAGUCCUCAUAAUAACUGCCCUGCCAUCAAUUCUUUUUCUCUUCCGUAUGAAAACAUCUCAUUCAUUACCGCUGAUGAUGAUCGGAAUUACAUGGUGGUUUUGAGAUGCGAGAAAGCUGUAGAUGACUAUGCCUAUUGGGACAUUUCUUUAGAAAAGUGUGGUGGCGAAGAAAAGCAGUAUUAUUCAUAUGUUGUUAUGAAUGAUUACUACGGAACAAAUUUUGUUGUGGAAAACAUAGAAGAGUCAUGCAGAAUAGAGAUGAAGUUAACGGUAAAAAAGUGGGAUGAAAAGGUGAAAUGCAAUAGGAAAUGCAGGUAUCCAAAGGAUGUUCACAGUGAGUAUGUCAACGGAAUUGAGGUUCGUUGGCGACCGUACUGUGGGCAGCAGAAGCAAGACAGAGAGAGUGAUCGAGAAGGGAAAAGGAAACAACGAUUGCCACUCCUCUGCAUUCUCUACCAAACAGCAUUCACCUGCAUUGAAAUGACACUCAUGCGUAAGUGUCAAUAUUUGCUAUGCUAUUUUUAUUCGUUUUUGCUUUCUUACUUGAGAGAAAAACCGCCCAAUAUGCUACUGAGAAUAUUGGGAUGCAUGUGAGGCACAACCGAAUAUGAAAGUACACAUAACACAGAAAACAUAACCUAAGACCACUAAUGCAAAGUACACACAUAUGCAAUGCUACAUAGACAUCAAUUAACUCCAGUAAAGAAUCCGACUAUUCCAAGUCAGUGCAAGUGUAUCAGUAUACAACCAAAAUGUCUUUGAUUUAUUAAUAUGAUAGUAUUGUAAUGUGGAUUAGAAUUAUCUGUUUAUUAAAAAUUUGAUUUAUUUGCACAGUGCUUCCAUGGAUUGUUGGAAAAUUUGUUCUUGGAUCACCCUUUGUGGUUCUGGUCUUGAUAUGUAAAUGGAGAAAAAAGCAUCAAUCCAUAUAUGACACAGUUGAAGAUUUUAUCCAAACUCACAACAAUUUCAUGCCCAUUAGAUACUCUUACUCCCAAAUCAAAACAAUGACUAAACGUUUCAAGAAUAAGUUGGGUGAAGGAGGCUAUGGUUCUGUCUAUGAAGGAGAGCUUCGAAGCAAACGCAAAGUAGCUGUUAAGGUAUUGACCAAGUCUCAAACCAAUGGACAAGACUUCAUCAACGAAGUUGCAACAAUUGGAAGAAUUCAUCAUGUCAAUGUGGUGCAGCUAAUUGGAUUUUGUGCCGAAAGAACAAAGCAAGCUCUGAUCUAUGAAUUUAUGCCAAAUGGUUCUCUUGACAAACACACAUUUUCACAAGAGCAAGGAAACUCAUCCUCAUUAAGCUACGAUAAGAUCUAUGACAUUUCUCUUGGAAUUGCUCGUGGAAUUCAAUACUUACAUCAAGGCUGUGAAAUGCAAAUCAUACAUUUUGACAUAAAACCUCAUAACAUUCUUCUUGAUGAGAAUUUCAACCCGAAGAUAUCCGAUUUUGGUUUGGCAAAGUUGUACCGAAUAGAUCAAAGCAUUUUGACUUUAACAGCAGCAAGAGGAACAAUGGGGUACAUGGCUCCUGAGUUGUUGUACAAGAACAUCGGAAACCUCUCACACAAAGCUGAUGUUUAUAGUUUUGGAAUGAUGUUAAUGGAAAUGGCAGGUAGAAAAAAGAACAUAAAUUAUAUAGAGAAUUAUUGGCAAGACUACUUUGCUAAAUGGAUUUAUGAUCAAUUUGAGGAAACAAUAGAUACAAACAAUGGCACAGAGGAGGAAAAGAAAAUUGCAAUGAAGAUGAUUGUGAUUGCGAUGAAAUGCAUACAAAUGAAACCAGAUGAUCGUCCCUCAAUGAAUGAAGUGAUAGAUAUGCUUGAAGGAGAUGAAGUGCCUCAACACCUUCCUCCUGAUCCUGAAUCUCUCUUAACAUGGCAAAGGAUGUCAGCUGAUGCAAAUGAAUCCGACAACAACUAGCCUUCAUCAUGAGCUACAUAUGGAGUGGAAGUGCAAUAAAUAAGCAUGAAAAUGAAAGAAACUAAUUCUAUUGUUUCCAGUUAUCACAGACUUAAAGGGUACACGAGUAUAUAAGUACUAGUUUUUUCUUCACUUUUAUUAACACGUGUUAAUCUGGAAAAUAUCACCUUUACAUACACUUACAACAUGCAUGUUAAGUACAAUGUAAACUAUUACAACUUGCACCAUGAACAAUCUUAAAAGACUUUCUCUAUAUCUCCCCUCUCAUCAUGCAAUUGAUCUCUCCUUCAUAUUCUGAAUACAACAAAGCAAGUUCCACAAUUUGACAACACGUGCGCAAAUAUAUCAAGGUCCAACGGAACUUUUCAAAGCCUUGAGAAAAUAGUGCGCCAUAUUCUUUUGAGAGACUCGUUUCAUAUCAAUCACCCAGAGAUCUGCUUUUAUUUUAAGUA